Long non-coding RNA from Myripristis murdjan (pinecone soldierfish), 1440 nucleotides. RefSeq lists it as uncharacterized. The transcript is spliced from 3 exons. The record is from RefSeq and is a predicted model, not a curated record. Lineage: Eukaryota; Metazoa; Chordata; Actinopteri; Holocentriformes; Holocentridae.
CGGCAUGCUGUACUCCGAGUUGUAAAACAUCUCCACUUUGACCACGGGCGGGGAGGAGGGCCGGGACCAGCCGAUCACAUCCUUGGUGCACUGCCCCAGGGAAUAUCAUACAGAAUAUUUCAUAAAUUACACAAGAUCUUAGAAGAGUUAAAGGAUAACAGAAGCAACAGAAAGCCCAGACUCCUCCACGCAAGCCAAGGUGCAUCAAAAUGAGCCUGCAGUCUGUAAUCCCUGAAUACGCUCACGGCUUCCAUGAGCGGCGAUAACUAGAAAAAUUAACGACACAACGACGGCGACGACCAAAAAAAUUCCUGCACGGAGUCUCUGACGCGUGUGCAUGUACAGUAAACAGUGAAGGCAGUGAAGCUGCUGGCAGAGUUCGCCCCUGAUUUUGGCCCCUGGCCUCCGCUGUCAAACCCGAGGCCGAAGAAAAAUCCAGCUGUAAACGAAGCAGGUUGUCAGCUUCUCAAAUCUGCUGAUGCAAGAGGGGGUGAAGUCCUGCAUUUUAACACAAAAUAUGCAACACCUUCCCCAUUUGUCAGGAGUUUUUUUUAAGUGAUAAAAGAGAGGAAACAUCGUUCUCCUCAGGCCGCCGCGUCCACAUGCCUGAUUGAUGAUUCGACAAGUUCCUUUUUCCCAGCUUGAAAAAAAGCCACAUGAGUGAGGCGCACAGAGUCACCCGUUGUCGUCCAGGUUGUACAGGAGCACCUGGUGGUUGGGCGCGAGGCUGUACAGACAGGUGGCUGAUGGGUAACAGGGCACCAGGCGGUAAUGUGGCAGCUCCUCCAAGCCGAACGGAGGCGAGCAGCAGUCCGUCACCAGCACCUUCACACGCUUUCUGUCCGGGUACGACAGCCUCUGCUGUCCCUCGGCAGGGCCCCUCCCUCCCUGCCUGCACCUGACCUCCACCUCGUCCUCACCCUCCUCCUCCUCCUCCUCUUCUUCCUCAUCCACCUCCUCUUCCUCCUCUUCUUCUUCCGCCACCUCCUCCUCCUCGUGGUGGAUCUUCCUCAGCAGGUUGUUGAUGAGGACGGAGCGGCGCAGGUAGGCCUCGGGGUCCUCCAGGAACCGCAGCUUCUCCAGGGACAUUUUCAGGAUGCAGCUCCGGUCCUCCUGCAGUAUCAGGAAAACCACAACAAAAGACUGAAAGAGGAGGAGGAGGCCAGAGAGAAAAAGCUGCUGUUACAAAUGCCAAACCUACACACAGCUCGGGGAGAUAUUUUUAUUUUAUUAUAUUACAUUUAUCACAUCUGAUGUACAUUACAUCAGAUAUCGACUGGUCGGUGUCAUCCAAAUCUGAUAAGACUGUAGUUCCCCUCUUCAUUUAUUAAUUUGACUGGUCAGUGAUGUCUUGAAAUAAACCUUCUUCACUUUGAAGUGUAAUGCUGUGCAGAGCCUCUCUACCACUGACCAGGUGAAAAGGGUCUCUCUGCCUUAAGA